Molecule: ribosomal RNA, 2048 nt
Filed under: Glugoides intestinalis
Lineage: Eukaryota; Fungi; Microsporidia; Glugeidae
Description: partial 23S ribosomal RNA
Rfam family: Eukaryotic large subunit ribosomal RNA
Source: RNAcentral
CCCGUCUUGAAACACGGACCAAGGAGAUUCCAAUGCAGCGAGGUGAAUGAGGGGGGGAUAAAUCAGUAGCCGAAAGAGAUUGAAUAGUUGUAUUGGUAAGACCCGAAAGAUAGUGAACUAUAUCUGAGAGUAUUGAAGUCAGGGGAAAUUCUGAUGGAGGAUAUAAGCCGUUCUGAUGUUCAAUUCGAUGGCGAGAGAUGGGUAUAGGGGCGAAAGACCAAACGAACUAUCAGGUAGCUGGUUCCAGCCGAAAUGUCUCGCAGGACAGCGGUCGCGAAGGAUAGGAAGAUGCAGUAGAGAGGAUGUGGACGUAGUCAACAAACUCCGAAGGUGUUUCAGCACACUAGAGAUAGAAGUGUAAAAAUCUAAUAGGUCGCGACCAGUGGGCAGAUAGUGGUAAGCAUGAUCUGCAAGAAGCAAAGAAGCUGUAGUAGGAUAAGCAACCUAAGAGAACAACACGCAAGAAAGUAGAUGGUCAAGUAUAGACAGUAGGACGGUGGCCAUGGAAGUAGGAAGCCGCUAAGAAACGUGUUAAAACGUACCUAUCGAAUUUGGGAUAGACUAAAAUAGAAGGUGGUGAUGUUUGUAGCGAGACCUAGAGAAGGUAGGCAGGCAUAUUUUUAGCAGAGAAGGGGUGUUGUGAAGCAUCGUGGAGGGAAGAAUGGAGCAGAUCUUGGAAGUAGUAGCGACUAUUAAUAGGACAUAUUGAGACGGGUUCAUCCUUUGUAUAGAAGGAGGUGAUACGAGCCUAAAUAAAAGGGAGACGUUUGAAUAAUGACGUUAAAGCUCAUGGAUAGUGAUAUAAGAAGGACGAUUGGGGAAGAGAAGAGAUGAGAAUUUGUUUUUUUUUUGAAAGAUGUGGAGAGUUAUACGAAGAAGCAUAAAGACCAGUCCGAUGAAAAGACAGGAGAGAUAUCGUACCGAACUGCAACAGGACUCAAGGGUGAAUAGCCCGAUGUGCGAUAUAAGUCAAGUAAGGGAAAUCGGCAAGAAGGAUGAGUAACUUUGGGAGAAUUAUUGGCUCUAGCAUGCUAGAACUGGGCUUACACGGGGAAUCUGACAGUUUAAUAAAAACAUAGCUUUCUGGUAGAUAGAAAGUGAAUUCUGCCCAGUGCUUGGGACGUUAAGGAAGUAAUAUUUAGUACGCACAUGUAAACGGCGGGAGUAACUAUGACUCUCUUAAGGUAGCCAAAUGCCUCGUCAUCUAAUUAGUGACGCGCAUGAAUGGAGCAACGAGAUUCCCACUGUCCCUACUUGAAGAGGGCGAACCUACAGCCAAGGGAACGGGCUUGGGAGAAGCAGCGGGGAAAGAAGACCCUGUUGAGCUUGACUCUAGUGAGAUAGAGAGUUUUGUUGUGAUGUCGUAGCAAGGUGGGAGAAAGGUGCAAGACCACUGGCAUAUGUGAUGAAAUUGUUAAAGAUCUGAUGGGGAGCUUGGCUGGGGCGGCACGACUGCUAAAUAGUAACGCAGUUGACCAAAGGUAAGCUUCGAGGGGAAGGAAACCACUCAUAGAGCAGAAGGGCAAAAGCUUGCUUUAGGCGAUAAUGAUAGUUAACGCUACCGGAAACGGGGGCCUAUAGAUCCUCUUCUAAGAUAGGAGGAGAGGUGACGGAAAAGUUACCACAGGGAUAACUGGCUUGUGGCGGCCGAGCGAACAUAGCGACGCCGCUUUUUGAUUCUUCGAUGUCGGCUCUUCCUAGCAUGGUGAAGCAGAAAUCACCUAGUGUUGGAUUGUUCACCCACCAACAGGGAACGUGAGCUGGGUUUAGACCGUCGCGAGACAGGUUAGUUUUACCCUACUGCAGUAGAAGAGAGAGUAGGUCAGAGGAGUACGAGAGGAAGAGCUGAUCAGGACCACUGGUGAAGCGGGUGUAUGUUAAUGCAACGGCACAGCUACGUCCUAUAGUAGAAAGGCUGAAGGCCUCUAAGCCUGAAAGCAGACUUGAAUUUUCAAUAGAUGAGAAGACGACUUAGAUAAGGAGAUAAGCUGUACGAUUCUAGCCUUGAGCGAGGAUUUGAGGCAGUAUCAAUUCCUUUUAUAGGAGCA